AGAGUUUGAUCCUGGCUCAGAUUGAACGCUGGCGGCAGGCCUAACACAUGCAAGUCGAGCGGUAACAGGGGAAGCUUGCUUCUCGCUGACGAGCGGCGGACGGGUGAGUAAUGUAUGGGGAUCUGCCCGAUAGAGGGGGAUAACUACUGGAAACGGUAGCUAAUACCGCAUAAUCUCUAAGGAGCAAAGCGGGGGAUCUUCGGCCCUCGCGCUCAAGGGGCGGCCGAUGGCAGAUUAGCUAGUUGGUGAGGUAAUGGCUCACCAAGGCGACGAUCCCUAGCUGGUCUGAGAGGAUGAUCAGCCACACUGGGACUGAGACACGGCCCAGACUCCUACGGGAGGCAGCAGUGGGGAAUAUUGCACAAUGGGCGCAAGCCUGAUGCAGCCAUGCCGCGUGUAUGAAGAAGGCCUUAGGGUUGUAAAGUACUUUCAGUUGGGAGGAAGGCGUUGAUGCUAAUAGCAUCAGCGAUUGACGUUACCAACAGAAGAAGCACCGGCUAACUCCGUGCCAGCCGCCGCGGUAAUUC
RNAcentral lists this ribosomal RNA (527 nucleotides) under uncultured bacterium. RNAcentral's name for it is "bacterial SSU rRNA". It matches the Rfam family "Bacterial small subunit ribosomal RNA", at positions 8 to 526 of the family's 1533-position model. The record is from RNAcentral.